AGAGUUUGAUCAUGGCUCAGAGCGAACGCUGGCGGCGUGCUUAACACAUGCAAGUCGAACGGGUGUAGCAAUACAUCCGUGGCGGACGGGUGCGUAACACGUGGAUAACCUUCCUUCAGGUGGGGAAUAACCCAGUGAAAAUUGGGCUAAUACCGCAUAACAAAACGGGGGCACAUGCUCUUGUUUUCAAAGGCGCAAGUCGCCAGAAGAGGGAUCCGCGGCCGAUUAGCUUGUUGGCGGGGUAACGGCCCACCAAGGCAAUGAUCGGUAGCCGGACUGAGAGGUUGGCCGGCCACACUGGAACUGAGACACGGUCCAGACUCCUACGGGAGGCAGCAGUGGGGAAUCUUGCACGAUGGACGAAAGUCUGAUGCAGCAACGCCGCGUGGGGGAUGAAGCUUCUCGGAGUGUAAACCCCUUUCGACCCGGAAGAAAGCCCGCAAGGGUUUGACGGUACGGGUAUAAGAAGCCCCGGCUAACUACGUGCCAGCAGCCGCGGUAAUACGUAGGGGGCCAGCGUUGCUCGGAAUUACUGGGCGUAAAGGGUCCGUAGGCGGUGCGGCAAGUCGAUAGUGAAAUCUCUGAGCUUAACUCAGAGGCUGCUAACGAAACUGCCAUGCUAGAGUGUGAGAGAGGCGAGUGGAAUUACGGGUGUAGCGGUGAAAUGCGUAGAUGUCCGUAGGAACAUCCGAGGCGAAAGCGGCUCGCUGGAUCACAACUGACGCUGAGGGACGAAAGCUAGGGGAGCAAACAGGAUUAGAUACCCUGGUAGUCCUAGCCCUAAACCAUCAGACUUGGGGUUUGCCCUGUACGGGGCAAGUCCCGUAGCUAACGCGUUAAGUCCUGCGCCUGGGGAGUACGGUCGCAAGGCUGAAACUCAAGGAAUUGACGGGGGCCCGCACAAGCGGUGGAACAUGUGGUUCAUUUCGACGCACGCGAGAACCUUACCUGGGCUUGAACCGCACAGGACCAGCUCUAGA
This 980-nucleotide ribosomal RNA is filed under the name uncultured bacterium. Its description in RNAcentral is "bacterial SSU rRNA". It matches the Rfam family "Bacterial small subunit ribosomal RNA", at positions 8 to 1006 of the family's 1533-position model. The record is from RNAcentral.